RNAcentral lists this ribosomal RNA (258 nucleotides) under uncultured bacterium. RNAcentral describes it as "partial 16S ribosomal RNA". It matches the Rfam family "Bacterial small subunit ribosomal RNA", at positions 95 to 354 of the family's 1533-position model. The record is from RNAcentral.
UCGGCGGACGGGUGGAGUAACGCGUGGACAACCUGCCUAUGCAGGGGAGUAACAUCCGGAAACGGGUGCUAAUACGCAUAAGCGCACAGUACCGCAUGGUACGGUGUGAAAAGCUGAGGCGGCAUAGGAUGGGUCCGCGUUGGAUUAGGCAGUUGGCGGGGUAACGGCCCACCAAACCGACGAUCCAUAGCCGGCCUGAGAGGGUGGACGGCCACAUUGGGACUGAGACACGGCCCAGACUCCUACGGGAGGCAGCAG